AUAGUUCAAUUUUUUUUUUUUUUUUUAACUUUAGGUUUGUGCAGAGGACAAUGUAUGGUGAUAACAAAUUCAUUGUGUUUGAAACCUGCCAGCGUGAGCUGUUUGCCACAUGCCCGAUAUGUAAACACAAGUGUGAUGUAAGUCUACGCCGGAUUGGUACAUAUGUGGCAUUCCUCCAGCUUUGCCCCAAGUGCAGUUACCAUAAGCAAUGGGAGAGCCAGCCCACUGUUGGUAGUACGCCCGUCGGAAACCUUCAGUUAUCUGCAGCCACGUAUUUUACCGGAGGAUCAUUCAUCCAAGUGCAAAAGGUAAGCAUGAAACGUUUUGUUGUACCACACAAUUCUAAGUUAUGAUCUUUACAUAAUACUUCAACUUUUCUCAUAGAUUUGCAAAGGCAUGCAAUUACAGAUUUUCACAUAUGAAACAUUCCGGAGACAUUCUAGGAGCUUCCUAGAGCCUGCCAUAAUCCACAAAUGGAAAAGUGACCAACAAAAACUUGGCCUUGCCAGAGAUAUGCGAGCUGACUCACCUGGACAUUCAGCCAAAUAUGGGAGUUACACGUUGAUGCACACAGAGAGCAGCACUAUUUUGGACAUACAACUUGUUCAGAGUAAUGAAGUCGGCGGUAGUUACCAUAUGGAGAAAGAGGGCCUAAAGAGAUGUCUUGAUCAUCUAGAGUCAAGUGGCUUAACAGUCGACUACAUUGUGACUGACCGCCACACUCAGAUACAGAAAUAUUUGAGAGAAUGCAG
Long non-coding RNA from Carassius auratus (goldfish), 752 nucleotides. RefSeq lists it as uncharacterized. The transcript is spliced from 3 exons. Lineage: Eukaryota; Metazoa; Chordata; Actinopteri; Cypriniformes; Cyprinidae. The record is from RefSeq and is a predicted model, not a curated record.